Molecule: ribosomal RNA, 301 nt
Filed under: uncultured bacterium
Lineage: Bacteria
Description: partial 16S ribosomal RNA
Rfam family: Bacterial small subunit ribosomal RNA
Source: RNAcentral
CAGCCGCCACGGGAAUACGUAGGGUGCGAGCGUUAAUCGGAAUUACUGGGCGUAAAGCGUGCGCAGGCGGUUAUAUAAGACAGAUGUGAAAUCCCCGGGCUCAACCUGGGACCUGCAUUUGUGACUGUAUAGCUAGAGUACGGUAGAGGGGGAUGGAAUUCCGCGUGUAGCAGUGAAAUGCGUAGAUAUGCGGAGGAACACCGAUGGCGAAGGCAAUCCCCUGGACCUGUACUGAUGCUCAUGCACGAAAGCGUGGGGAGCAAACAGGAUUAGAUACCCCCGUAGUCCCUGUCUCUUAUAA